Molecule: ribosomal RNA, 448 nt
Filed under: uncultured bacterium
Lineage: Bacteria
Description: SSU rRNA
Rfam family: Bacterial small subunit ribosomal RNA
Source: RNAcentral
AGAACGAACGCUGGCGGCAGGCUUAACACAUGCAAGUCGAACGCGUGUAGCAAUACACGAGUGGCGCACGGGUGAGUAACGCGUGGAUAUCUGCCUUUUGGUUCGGAAUAACCCCGGGAAACUGGGGCUAAUACCGGAUGGUUCCUACGGGAUAAAGAUUUAUCGCCAAAAGAUGAGUCCGCGUACGAUUAGCUAGUUGGUGAGGUAAUGGCUCACCAAGGCGACGAUCGUUAGCUGGUCUGAGAGGACGAUCAGCCACACUGGGACUGAGACACGGCCCAGACUCCUACGGGAGGCAGCAGUGGGGAAUAUUGGACAAUGGGCGAAAGCCUGAUCCAGCCAUGCCGCGUGAGUGAUGAAGGCCUUAGGGUUGUAAAGCUCUUUUACCCGGGAAGAUAAUGACGGUACCGGGAGAAUAAGCCCCGGCUAACUUCGCGCCAGCAGCCGC